AUGUAGGUGAACAAAUCUUGUGUGAGACAAGCUAACAAUUAAAUUAAUGUAAAGCUGACAUUACACACAGUGCAAAUUCUCUUGCUGCUUUGAUCUCUCUAACACUGUGGCAUGUCCCCUUUCUUCUACAAUCACCUUUUCUCUGUCACAGCUUUUCUGCCUGCUAAUAAGAAGUAAGGAGAGGAGUGGACAAGUGAGUGCUAG
Pelobates cultripes (western spadefoot toad) is the source of this 204-nucleotide non-coding RNA. The record is from the annotation of a GenBank genome assembly. Lineage: Eukaryota; Metazoa; Chordata; Amphibia; Anura; Pelobatidae.